Molecule: long non-coding RNA, 5500 nt
Organism: Esox lucius (northern pike)
Lineage: Eukaryota; Metazoa; Chordata; Actinopteri; Esociformes; Esocidae
Source: Ensembl
UGUUGCUUGUCCUUGAAUGUUUUGGGAGGAUGAAUGAGCUCAUAGAUAAGGGAAUCCUUCGACUUCAGAGAAUAUGCUGUGUAAUGUUGAGAAUCCCAGAGGGUUGUGAAAAACAUUGAUGGAAGACUCAAUGAUCCAUCCAGUAAUUAGCAUAAUGGGAGGACCUAAUAUCAUUGUAUAACCAUACUGUAUAAAAAUGUGUGUUUAAGGUUUGGAAGUCAGUUGUUCUGCAGACCAACUCAGCUUUUUUUAAUCUUCAUUUAAGUCUAUUUUGGAUUCACAAGUUCCUGAGUUUUUGCAUCUUUUUUGGCCGGACAUUCUUUGGUUGGGUCACACAAACAACACGUGGCCACAUUGAGAGGUAAGCAUGUUCUUACUUUAAUUUAGUGGUUUCUGUGACUUGAAACACCUGGCCUGGCAGUUUGGCACCACAUAAGGCCUUACCAAAUUCAACGAACCUAACUUAUUUGAUUGAGGCAAUGGGGAGCUUUUGAAUCCAAAAAUGUGGGGGUAAAUGGCAUGCUACACAUUUUAGGUAGGACAUAACACAACAAGAUAGGUCAUAUUUAAAUAAGUGUGAGGGUUGCAACCAGUAUAAGUCCUGUGCCCCCAUCACGGUCUGUUAGGGCCAACCGUGAGUGAUGAGGAGGCUGGCAGGAUUCGUGAUACUGGCUUGACGGCCUGAGUGACUGCAUGGACGAAUCCACCGCGCUGAGUCACCCUCAGUAGGAGAAGAAGACUGCUGUGGGACAGGACCAGGCGGCUUUGAAUUUAGCUGUAGUGUGCCCUGCGAGAACCGCCUCAGACAUAAACUUUGGGGGACAGCACGGGUGGGGGCUAAAUGAGUGGUCGCCUCUCAUAGGUGUGUGGGAGUCCGCUGCUGUGUGAUAGUAGAGCGGGAAUGGUUAGGGCCAAGAGUGGGAAAGUAUAGCACUCUCCUGCUAGGAGGAGUAUAGAUGACUAAGUUAAGGGGUGUGUAGGCGCAGAGAGAAUUGUUGAGAGAAGUGUUGAGUUAAGAGGUGUAGAAGUAGAGAAAAUUGUGUUUUAAGAGAAUUGUUGAGUUGUUUGUGAAUGGGAUGAAGGUCAAUAUUCGAGAAGACAGGCUGAGGUCGAACAGGAACUUAGUUCCAAGGAGGUAUAUGAUACGUUGUGUGCACACCCCAUGGAUACCGCUCCAAUGAUGUUGGAUGUCUGAAUGGGUGGAGUUGUAAGAAGACCUGUAUGGUAACGUCCUGUGGACCUGGAAGCAGGCAGGGACCACUAGACUGUGAGUGUGAAUGUGUGUACGAAAGAGAAAGUGUGUGAGGGAAGAGAAUUCCUGUCUGUUUGUAAGGAAGUGUGUGAAAGGAGACUCAUUGGGAGUGAUGGGCAUAGCGGAGAAAUUGCUAGUAGAUGAUAAUGAUAUUUGUCUGAGUGCUAGAAAAGUGACGAGUGGAUAGAUGGGAAGAAAGGUAAAUGAAGAAAAUAGCCAGUUAGACAGAUAUUUUGGGAGAUGUGCCACGAGAAAGUAUUCAACAGUGGACAAAGGAUCUGGUCAAGUUUUGGGUAAUCAUUUGUGUAAACAUAGUUGUCAUCUAAGUGGUUUCAUCCUAUUGUUUGACAACAUUGUAUAGGUGGUCGGUUGGUUAAGUUUGACUGAGUCCAGUUAAAGGAUAGUGAGAGGAGUCAAAUAGAUAAGAUUUUUGGCUGGCAUCCCAGAAAGUAGGGAGUAACUCUAAGCAUCCCAAUCCAGAAAUCAGAGACACACUAGGAGAGAGGUGCAAAAGAUGACAGACACACCAAUUGAGAUUCUGGGAAGUAGAUUCCCAAUAUUAAAAUAAAUCAAAAUAGAGUAAAAUCUGGUUCUAUAUGGCAAUAUUUUAAUGGCAAUUGCUCUGUGUACACGAAGUUGUAGGAAAAUUGAGCUCAUCUAAAUUAUGAAACAUGACAAAGACAUGUCAAAUUACAAUCAAGUGGCCAGUGUUAAAUGUAUUGUCUGUGUGUUUGUACGUCAUUUGUUCGUCAUGUUAUGUAUCUAUGUCGCAAACUAACGCCAUGCUUGCUUAUUUGGGUUAUUUGCUCUAUAUGUCUACAAGAUCAGUGAUUUGAGUUUUACUCUAAAAGGAGAGGAAGAAAGUGAGUGCUACGUUUAUGGAACAUUGGUAAAUUGGUAAUUCCCAAUUUAGGACAUUAAAAAGAGAUAGACAUCAGAUUGGGGUUUAAAAUUGUUGGUUAACACGCAAUUUUAAAUUCAGUAAGUUAAUGCUAAACUCUCCAGUCAAGGUUUUAACUUUGUGUUGUGCGAGAUUCCAUCUUUGUUCCUCACAAAGUAGGAGUCCUGAAUCAUGCAACCUUAAUACACCUUGUACAAUGAAGGGGUACCUCACACAGAUGGCCCAGAUCAUUCCAAGGCCAAACCAAGCCCAGACCUGUGAGAGACUGCCUUGGGUUCAAAAUAAGAAAAUUGGACAGCGACGAUUCCAGCUACACCACACCCAAGGAGAGGUUGGAGGAAUGGAGAGACUGAUGGUUCCAGCUACACCACAUCCAAGGAGAGGUUGGAGGAAUGGAGAGACUGAUGGUUCCAGCUACACCACAGUCAAGGAGAGGUUGGAGGAAUGGAGAGACUGAUGGUUCCAGCUACACCACAGCCAAGGAGAGGGUGGAGGAAUGGAGAGACUGAUGGUUCCAGCUACACCACAGUCAAGGAGAGGUUGGAGGAAUGGAGAGACUGAUGGUUCCAGCUACACCACAGCCAAGGAGAGGGUGGAGGAAUGGAGAGACUGAUGGUUCCAGCUACACCACAGUCAAGGAGAGGGUGGAGGAAUGGAGAGAGGCACGCAGAACAAAGAGGCUUCUACAUCCAUGACUGUAACAGUCAGGAGCCACUUGACUGGACAUGGGGGAAUCACAGAGGAGAGAGGAGUUGUAUUUUAAUUUUUAAUACACUUUUUAUAUCAAUGUUAUGUUUGGGUCUUAGAAAUUGUCUGGCAAAUUCUGAUUAAAUUGGUUAUUUGGUCAUUGCUAUUGUACUUCCAGCUAGUUUUAGUCUUUUGUUUUUUGCCUAUUGUUGUUUUAAAUCUAAAUUGAUAAUUGUUUUGGAUUUGUUGUGAAUAAUUUGUGAUGAUUUUAUACAUCUAAAGCAUUUGUUUAUUCGUCUGACAUUUAAGUAAUGAUCUCACCAUCUCUAAUAGUUGAGUAUUAUUUCAUGAAUGGCAGUAGCCCAGAUGUUAGGGCCCAGGAGAAUAGGUAAACUGAUGUAGUGUUUUUGUCUUCUCUUUUCUCCUAUAAGGAUGGUGUUGCAGACCUCUAAAUCAAUGCAUGGAGACGAUUUGGGAACAAUGAUGUGAAGUGAUACCUCCCGCGACCAUUUCUGGGUUCCAGAACCUGAUUCAUGAACGUUUCAUUGGGGGGGGGGUGGCGGAAGGCCUGACCUUGUUAUGUCUGGAACGCAUCAACGGUGAGACAGAAGAGCAACAGAUCUGAGGCACAGAGUGGCUCACUACAAAAGAAAAUGGGACUGAGUUUCUGUUAAAGUAUUUACAACAUCAAGACCAAAGAAAAGAGGCCUUUGGGUCAAAAUGUCAACAGACAUCACAUAAGGACAAUGUGCCAGGUGAAGGGAGAGGACUAGGGAGUAACUUCCCAGUUAAGUCACACUUUGCCAUGUAUUGGGAUAGAGGUUGUGACAAAUGAGGUCUAAAUUGAGUGGGAAGUCAAAACUAAAAUUUAACUAUUUUGUUAUAGCCCACCAAGCAACUAUAAGAGAAAGAGGUGUUGAAGAAAUAAAAUGAAAUAUUUGGGGAAAAGUAUGGGACAGGAAAAUGACCAGUGAGGAAUUAGAUACUUUCAUAUCGUGGAAACAACCCAGAAAAUGAGUAACUAAUAGGUAGAAUAGGGACACAAGCAGUACCACGGUCCAGACAAUGAAACCAGGGACACGGCAAGUGAGAAGAAGGACAAGGCAAGUGAAAUGAAGGAUAGGAGAGAUGGAAAGCAGGGAAAGAGAAGUGAAAUGCGGGAGAUCAGAAGUGGGUACAAGAAGUACAAUGAUGGUCAGAGAAGUGGAAAAGUAAAUAAAUGGUGAGAAUCUGAGAUUGAUAAGGAUAGGAGUCCAAGAUACCGAAAACCUGUGGAGGAAGGUUUAAAGAUCUUGGGCAGGCAUGAAUGUUUUUAGGCCAGUGGUAUGAUUGUAGGGAGAAAUGUAAAACCAUUAUUAAUUUGGAUAAUAUCGACAUAGUAAUAGGGUUGUCUUACAGUAGCUGUUUCCCUUGCCCUUUUAGGGGAUAUAGGUGUAGGUAUUGCAGGAAAACAAAUAUCCUAGGAAGAUACGUGAACAAAUGUUUCAUGAUGACAUUAUCAUUUCCCAAGACCCUAUGAUUGUGCUUUGUGUCAAAGGGGGGACUGUGAUUUCUGUGCUGAGAAGGACUGAUCUCCAUUGUAAAGAUGGUUUCAAGUUCCUAGGUGGAUGGUAGCCAACCUAUUACAAAGAGAGUACUGCUUGGAGAAUUAGAUGGUUUAUUAUUUUUAUUAUUUUACUUAUAUUCUCAUACUCUCUUUGAUUGAAGUGAUUAUCAUUCAAAUGAUGUAUGUUUUAUUUUAUGCAAUUUAUACUCAUUUUAUAAUCAGUUUAUAUUCCAUUCAUAUGUAAUCGUUUGAAACAACAUAUUUUGCAAGGCUCUGAAAGAAAUCUGCACAUGCUUACACAAACUGACUUGAUUGGUCAGGUUAGAAUUAUUUUACUUCCUCCCAGCCAAACAGGGAGGGAAAGGUUUGGCUUCCAGCCUCUGGAGUGGUGGUUGACAGAGGAGAUUGUUUUAGAUAAUUGGGUUGAUUUCAACUCUCUUAUAGGAACUGAGUUUUCCUCCUCACCUGCCGUUUCCAGGUCUAGAUUGUGGGACUUAGAGGGGGGAUGUGUAGGGAUAUUUUCAUAAAAUGUUGUUCUCUCACAUUAACCCAAUGAAGAGUAGACAGAACGUCUCAUGUGAUCUCUUGCAUAUCAAUUGGGUGUUAAUGAAAUAUUUAACCAAGGCUCAUACUUUUCCCAAACAGUCCAAUUGUCUUUGAUGUUUCCACAUUUAAUUGUUAAGAGUGGCUGAUGAAGAAUACGGUAAACAGUUUGGAUUUCUAUGUGUGUCAAGGUCAACAGCUGUGCUCAGUUUUUCUUCUUACUAUACUGAUGUGACUAAGGAGCAACAGUUUAUUUCAUCUUGAUGUAAGAAUGACCUGUUGCUUGUCCUUGAAUGUCUUGGGAGGAUGAGUGAGCUCAUAGAUAAGGGAAUCCGUCCAUUUCAGAGAAUAUGAUGAGUAGUGGCUGGGGGAGCGAAUCCUAGAGGGUUGUGAAAAACAUUGAUGGAAGAUUCGAGGAAGGAUCCAUCCAGAAAUUAGCAUAAUGGGAUGACCUAAUAUCAUUGUAUAACCAUACUGUAUAAAAAUGUGUGUUUAAGGUUUGGAAGUCAGUUGUUCUGCAGACCAACUCUGCAUUUUUUAAUCUUCAUUAAAGUCUAUUUUGGAUUCACAA